RNAcentral lists this ribosomal RNA (253 nucleotides) under uncultured bacterium. RNAcentral's name for it is "partial 16S ribosomal RNA". It matches the Rfam family "Bacterial small subunit ribosomal RNA", at positions 524 to 776 of the family's 1533-position model. The record is from RNAcentral.
UACGUAGGGGGCCAGCGUUGUCCGGAAUCAUUGGGCGUAAAGCGCGCGUAGGCGGCCAGAUAAGUCCGGUGUGAAAGUCAAAGGCUCAACCUUUGAAUGCCGCUGGAAACUGUCUGGCUUGAGUCCGGAAGGGGCGAGUGGAAUUCCUGGUGUAGCGGUGAAAUGCGCAGAUAUCAGGAGGAACACCGGUGGCGAAGGCGGCUUUCUGGACAGUAACUGACGCUGAGGCGCGAAAGCUAGGGGAGCAAACAGG